This 471-nucleotide ribosomal RNA is filed under the name uncultured bacterium. Its description in RNAcentral is "partial 16S ribosomal RNA". It matches the Rfam family "Bacterial small subunit ribosomal RNA", at positions 28 to 507 of the family's 1533-position model. The record is from RNAcentral.
GACGAACGCUGGCGGCGUGCUUAACACAUGCAAGUCGAACGAUGAAGCCUAGCUUGCUAGGUGGAUUAGUGGCGAACGGGUGAGUAAUACGUGAGUGACCUACCUUUGACUCUGGGAUAAGCCUGGGAAACUGGGUCUAAUACCGGAUACGACCAAUCUCCGCAUGGGGUGUUGGUGGAAAGCGUUAUGGAGUGGUUUUAGAUGGGCUCACGGCCUAUCAGCUUGUUGGUGAGGUAAUGGCUUACCAAGGCGACGACGGGUAGCCGGCCUGAGAGGGUGACCGGCCACACUGGGACUGAGACACGGCCCAGACUCCUACGGGAGGCAGCAGUGGGGAAUAUUGCACAAUGGGCGCAAGCCUGAUGCAGCGACGCCGCGUGAGGGAUGACGGCCUUCGGGUUGUAAACCUCUGUUAGCAUCGAAGAAGCGAAAGUGACGGUAGGUGCAGAGAAAGCGCCGGCUAACUACGUA